RNAcentral lists this ribosomal RNA (650 nucleotides) under uncultured bacterium. Its description in RNAcentral is "bacterial SSU rRNA". It matches the Rfam family "Bacterial small subunit ribosomal RNA", at positions 18 to 714 of the family's 1533-position model. The record is from RNAcentral.
CAUGGCUCAGAACGAACGCUGGCGGCAGGCCUAACACAUGCAAGUCGAGCGAGACCUUCGGGUCUAGCGGCGGACGGGUUAGUAACGCGUGGGAACGUACCCUUUUCUACGGAAUAGCCUUUGGAAACGAAGAGUAAUACCGUAUACGCCCUUCGGGGGAAAGAUUUAUCGGAGAAGGAUCGGCCCGCGUUAGAUUAGAUAGUUGGUGGGGUAAUGGCCUACCAAGUCUACGAUCUAUAGCUGGUUUUAGAGGAUGAUCAGCAACACUGGGACUGAGACACGGCCCAGACUCCUACGGGAGGCAGCAGUGGGGAAUCUUAGACAAUGGGCGCAAGCCUGAUCUAGCCAUGCCGCGUGAGUGAAGAAGGCCUUAGGGUCGUAAAGCUCUUUCGCCAGGGAUGAUAAUGACAGUACCUGGUAAAGAAACCCCGGCUAACUCCGUGCCAGCAGCCGCGGUAAUACGGAGGGGGUUAGCGUUGUUCGGAAUUACUGGGCGUAAAGCGCACGUAGGCGGAUUAGAAAGUUAGAGGUGAAAUCCCAGGGCUCAACCCUGGAACUGCCUUUAAAACUCCUAGUCUUGAGUUCGAGAGAGGUGAGUGGAAUUCCAAGUGUAGAGGUGAAAUUCGUAGAUAUUUGGAGGAACACCAGUG